This 433-nucleotide ribosomal RNA is filed under the name uncultured bacterium. RNAcentral describes it as "partial 16S ribosomal RNA". It matches the Rfam family "Bacterial small subunit ribosomal RNA", at positions 28 to 507 of the family's 1533-position model. The record is from RNAcentral.
GGUGAACGUUGGCGGUGCGUCUAAUACAUGCAAGUCGAGCGAGGCUUCGAGCCGAGCGGCAGACGGCUGAGUAACACGUUGGUAACUACCACAAACUCAGGGCUAACGCCGAGAAAUCGGUGCUAAUACCGGAUGGUCCCGUAAGGGUAAAGUGUUUACGGUUUGAGAGGUGCCUGCGGCCUAUCAGGUAGUUGGUGAGGUAACGGCUCACCAAGCCUAUGACGGGUAACUGGUCUGAGAGGAUGACCAGUCAGAGGGAACCUGAGACACGGUUCCCACUUCUACGGCAGGCGGCAGUAAAGUAUCUUCCACAAUGGACGAAAGUCUGAUGGAGCGACGCCGCGUGCAGGAUGAAGGCCCUUGGGUCGUAAACUUCUUUUUUGGGGGAAAAAUUCUGACUGUACCCUAAGAAUAAGCACCGGCUAACCACGUG